Molecule: ribosomal RNA, 254 nt
Filed under: uncultured bacterium
Lineage: Bacteria
Description: partial 16S ribosomal RNA
Rfam family: Bacterial small subunit ribosomal RNA
Source: RNAcentral
UACGGGGGGAGCAAGCGUUGUUCGGAUUUACUGGGCGUAAAGGGCGCGUAGGCGGUCAGCACAAGUCAGUUGUGAAAUCUCCGGGCUUAACUCGGAACGGCCAGGUGAAACUGUCAAGCUAGAGUGCAGAAGGGGCAAUCGGAAUUCUUGGUGUAGCGGUGAAAUGCGUAGAUAUCAAGAGGAACACCUGAGGUGAAGACGGGUUGCUGGGCUGACACUGACGCUGAGGCGCGAAAGCCAGGGGAGCAAACGGG